This 215-nucleotide small RNA is filed under the name Marmota marmota marmota (Alpine marmot). Its description in RNAcentral is "7SK RNA (ENSMMMG00000007331.1)". It matches the Rfam family "7SK RNA", at positions 88 to 331 of the family's 331-position model. From Rfam's summary of the family: 7SK was discovered as an abundant small nuclear RNA in the mid-70s but a possible function has only recently been suggested. Two independent studies have found that 7SK RNA binds the CDK9/cyclin T complex (known as elongation factor P-TEFb). Lineage: Eukaryota; Metazoa; Chordata; Mammalia; Rodentia; Sciuridae. The record is from RNAcentral.
AUGUGCGUCCCUCACCGCUCCAUGUGCGUCCCUCCCGAAGCUGCGCGCUGGGUCGAAGAGGACGACCUUCCGAUAGAGGAGGACCGUUCUUCGGUCAAGGGUAUGCGAGUAGCUGCGCUCCCCUGCUAGAACCUCCAAACAAGCUCUCUAGAAACAAAAUGUUAAAGCAUAACACUACUUAGAAUCACCCCAGAGAAAAUGAUAUUUAAAUAUAU